Molecule: ribosomal RNA, 426 nt
Filed under: uncultured Comamonadaceae bacterium
Lineage: Bacteria; Pseudomonadati; Pseudomonadota; Betaproteobacteria; Burkholderiales; Comamonadaceae
Description: bacterial SSU rRNA
Rfam family: Bacterial small subunit ribosomal RNA
Source: RNAcentral
GGGGAAUUUUGGUCAAUGGGCGCAAGCCUGAUCCAGCAAUGCCGCGUGCAGGAUGAAGGCCUUCCGGUUGUAAACUGCUUUUGUACGGCACGAAAAGCCUCCCUCUAAUACAGGGGGGUGAUGACGGUAUCGUCAGAAUAAGCACCGGCUCACUACGUGCCAGCAGCCGCGGUAAUACGUAGGGUGCAAGCGUUAAUCGGAAUUACUGGGCGUAAAGCGUGCGCAGGCGGUUUUGUAAGACAGUGGUGAAAUCCCCGGGCUCAACCUGGGAACUGCCAUUGUGACUGCAAGGCUGGAGUGCGGCAGAGGGGGAUGGAAUUCCGCGUGUAGCAGUGAAAUGCGUAGAUAUGAGGAGGAACACCGAUGGCGCAGGCAAGCCCCUGAGCCUGCGCUGACGCUCAUGCACGAAAGCGUGGGGAGCAAACA